UCCUCCUUUUUCAGCUUGACUGGAGAGCUUCUUCAUGCUCUCAUACUUUAUUCCUGUGAUCAGACUGCAGGAGGCAAAUGAGAGCCAAGAGGGUUGUGGCACUUGUGGUUUAUUUUAGAGGUGGUUUAUUCUCUGAAAAGAAAAAAAAAAAGAAAGAAAGAAACAGAAGAAAAAAAAAGAAAGAAAGAAAGAAACAUUCUGAAAUUUUCACAUGGAAUAGAGAUCUCGUCUGCGUCCUGCUGAGUUGCUUUAAAGAUGGAUUACCAUUUUGCAAAACCUCUCUGAACAAGAGAUGUAUUAUUCCCAUUUUGGAUGAGAGAAGUCAACGUGGGAUUGCUUCCCUGAGUUACCUGGAAAGUGUGACGCUGAAAGAGUAUUUCACCUCAAAGCUCCUGCAGCCCUUUCCACAGGAACAUUUCUUCUACCUAAGCAUUAAUUGUUUUCCUAAUCCCACUCUCCCUCCUAAUCCCAUUCUCCCCCAAAGGAGAAUAGCUAAAUGUAAAAGAAAGCAAGGUAAAACAGUUACAGGUGUCUAGAACGGCUCAGUACUUGUGCUGUAUUUGCCUGUAUAGUGCUCCUUCUGUCUUGCCCAUUUAGGCAAACGUUGUCUCUUUGUAUGCUCCCACACUUUGUGUUUAAUGAUACUGCCCUUAUGUCUUCUACCUCUGAUACAAGAUCCUGAAAAAAAAAAAAAAAAGAAAAAAAAGUAUUUUUCAACUUGAAUGGAAUUCUUUUGUCCAGUCUAAAGUUGCGCUUCACUCCUCAGUGUUCCUUGCCUGCCAAAGGAAAAUUAAAAAAAUAAAUAAAAAAGAAAUUUAAAAGUAUGUUUUCAUUUGCAAACAUUUAAGACUAAUGUAAGGCUACUCACUUUGGAAAAAAACAAAACCAUUUGCAGGGUAUGGUGCACGUGUGUUGGGGAGGGGAGAUAGGGAGAUAUUCAUGUUUCAGAAUUUUCUAAAUCUACUUUUUUUUGAAA
Molecule: long non-coding RNA, 976 nt
Filed under: Gallus gallus (chicken)
Lineage: Eukaryota; Metazoa; Chordata; Aves; Galliformes; Phasianidae
Description: lncRNA (ENSGALG00010011547.1)
Source: RNAcentral